UGGGGAAUAUUGGACAAUGGGGGAAACCCUGAUCCAGCAAUGCCGCGUGUGUGAAGAAGGCCUUCGGGUUGUAAAGCACUUUCAGUAGGGAAGAAAUACUUAAGACUAACACUCUUGAGAGUUGACGUUACCUACAGAAGAAGCACUGGCUAACUCUGUGCCAGCAGCCGCGGUAAUACAGAGAGUGCAAGCGUUAAUCGGAAUUACUGGGCGUAAAGCGCACGUAGGUGGCGACGUAAGUCGGGUGUGAAAGCCCCGGGCUCAACCUGGGAAUUGCAUUCGAGACUGCAUUGCUGGAGUACGGAAGAGGAGGGCGGAAUUCCCGGUGUAGCGGUGAAAUGCGUAGAUAUCGGGAGGAACAUCAGUGGCGAAGGCGGCCCUCUGGUCCAGUACUGACACUCAAGUGCGAAAGCGUGGGGAGCAAACAGGAUUAGAUACCCGCGUAGUCCCUGAGCGGGCUGGCAAGGCGCAU
Molecule: ribosomal RNA, 472 nt
Filed under: uncultured bacterium
Lineage: Bacteria
Description: bacterial SSU rRNA
Rfam family: Bacterial small subunit ribosomal RNA
Source: RNAcentral